Molecule: ribosomal RNA, 601 nt
Filed under: Curtobacterium sp. EA_L_41
Lineage: Bacteria; Bacillati; Actinomycetota; Actinomycetes; Micrococcales; Microbacteriaceae
Description: bacterial SSU rRNA
Rfam family: Bacterial small subunit ribosomal RNA
Source: RNAcentral
GAGGGGUGGCGGCGUGCUUACACAUGCAAGUCGAACGAUGAUGCCCAGCUUGCUGGGUGGAUUAGUGGCGAACGGGUGAGUAACACGUGAGUAACCUGCCCCUGACUCUGGGAUAAGCGUUGGAAACGACGUCUAAUACUGGAUAUGAUCACUGGCCGCAUGGUCUGGUGGUGGAAAGAUUUUUUGGUUGGGGAUGGACUCGCGGCCUAUCAGCUUGUUGGUGAGGUAAUGGCUCACCAAGGCGACGACGGGUAGCCGGCCUGAGAGGGUGACCGGCCACACUGGGACUGAGACACGGCCCAGACUCCUACGGGAGGCAGCAGUGGGGAAUAUUGCACAAUGGGCGAAAGCCUGAUGCAGCAACGCCGCGUGAGGGAUGACGGCCUUCGGGUUGUAAACCUCUUUUAGUAGGGAAGAAGCGAAAGUGACGGUACCUGCAGAAAAAGCACCGGCUAACUACGUGCCAGCAGCCGCGGUAAUACGUAGGGUGCAAGCGUUGUCCGGAAUUAUUGGGCGUAAAGAGCUCGUAGGCGGUUUGUCGCGUCUGCUGUGAAAUCCCGAGGCUCAACCUCGGGCUUGCAGUGGGUACGGGCAGACUAGA